UCUAACACUCUAUUAUUCACAGGUCACAUGAAACAAAAUUGCCAUUCAUCUAAAACAACCAAAAUUCGUACAUGCAAAUGCCAUCAAAAGGACUUUUCCAAGGGUUGUAAUGAGGCUGGGCUAACAAGAAAAUUGGUUUUUUUGGAAUACAAAGUCCUUGAGCUAAGAGAGCUACCAUAAUAUUCAACAUUCAAGCACAACUCUCUUCCUCACCAAUCUCUCUUAUUCCCAACUUUUUCCCUUUUCUUUUGCAUUGAGCCCCUUUUCAUGCUUUUCUUCUUUUCUUUUCUUUUUCUCAUGUAUUUUUCUUUCACAACAUUUGAGCUCAAUACUUUUCAAGUGCCUUCCAAUUUCCCCCAUGCAACCCCAA
This 370-nucleotide long non-coding RNA is filed under the name Vigna radiata. Its description in RNAcentral is "long non-coding RNA (VRAD_LNC016143)". The record is from RNAcentral. Lineage: Eukaryota; Viridiplantae; Streptophyta; Magnoliopsida; Fabales; Fabaceae.